AAAAACAUGUCUUCUUGUUUAUAUUUUGAAGUCUGUCCUGCUCACUGAUUUUUAAAGAGCCGCGGUAUUUUGACCGUGCAAAGGUAGCAUAAUCAUUAGUUUCCUAAUUAGGGGCUGGUAUGAAUGGGUUGACGAAAAAUCAACUGUCUCUUAAUAAAUAUUAAAAUUUAACUUUUUAGUCAAAAGGCUUAAAUUUUCCUUUAGGACGAGAAGACCCUAUAGAGCUUUAUAUCUUAUUUUAUAUAUUUUUUAUUUUUCUUUUAUAUAAAAUAAAAAUAUUUUGUUGGGGUGACAUGAAGAAUAGUAAAACUCUUCAUUAUAAAAUCAUUAAUUUAUGUUUUCAUGAUCCAUAAUUUAUGAUCAUAAGGUUAAGUUACCUUAGGGAUAACAGCGUAAUUAUUUUUGAGAGUUCAUAUCAACAAAGUAGAUUGCGACCUCGAUGUUGGAUUAAGAUAAAAUUUGGGUGCAUAAGCUCAUUAAUUAGGUCUGUUCGACCUUUAAAUUCUUACGU
RNAcentral lists this ribosomal RNA (511 nucleotides) under Paracoptacra cauta. RNAcentral describes it as "partial 16S ribosomal RNA". It matches the Rfam family "Archaeal large subunit ribosomal RNA", at positions 1901 to 2670 of the family's 2987-position model. The record is from RNAcentral. Lineage: Eukaryota; Metazoa; Arthropoda; Insecta; Orthoptera; Acrididae.